AAUAGAUACCCGGGUAGUCCACGCCGUAAACGAUGAGUGCUAAGUGUUAGAGGGUUUCCGCCCUUUAGUGCUGCAGCUAACGCAUUAAGCACUCCGCCUGGGGAGUACGGCCGCAAGGCUGAAACUCAAAGGAAUUGACGGGGGCCCGCACAAGCGGUGGAGCAUGUGGUUUAAUUCGAAGCAACGCGAAGAACCUUACCAGGUCUUGACAUCCUCUGCCAACCCUAGAGAUAGGGCGUUCCCCUUCGGGGGACAGAGUGACAGGUGGUGCAUGGUUGUCGUCAGCUCGUGUCGUGAGAUGUUGGGUUAAGUCCCGCAACGAGCGCAACCCUUGAUCUUAGUUGCCAGCAUUCAGUUGGGCACUCUAAGGUGACUGCCGGUGACAAACCGGAGAAGUGGGGAUGACGUCAAAUCAUCAUGCCCCUUAUGACCUGGGCUACACACGUGCUACAAUGGAUGGUACAAAGAGCAGCGAACCCGCGAGGGUAAGCCAAUCUCAUAAAGCCAUUCUCAGUUCGGA
This 520-nucleotide ribosomal RNA is filed under the name uncultured bacterium. Its description in RNAcentral is "bacterial SSU rRNA". It matches the Rfam family "Bacterial small subunit ribosomal RNA", at positions 777 to 1297 of the family's 1533-position model. The record is from RNAcentral.